RNAcentral lists this ribosomal RNA (253 nucleotides) under uncultured bacterium. RNAcentral describes it as "partial 16S ribosomal RNA". It matches the Rfam family "Bacterial small subunit ribosomal RNA", at positions 524 to 776 of the family's 1533-position model. The record is from RNAcentral.
UACGUAGGGUGCAGGCGUUAAUCGGAAUUACUGGGCGUAAAGCGUGCGCAGGCGGUCUGCUAAGACAGGUGUGAAAUCCCCGGGCUUAACCUGGGAACUGCGCUUGUUACUGGCAGGCUGGAGUGUGGCAGAGGGGGGUGGAAUUCCACGUGUAGCAGUGAAAUGCGUAGAGAUGUGGAGGAACACCGAUGGCGAAGGCAGCCCCCUGGGUUAACACUGACGCUCAGGCACGAAAGCGUGGGGAGCAAACAGG